CCUACGGGCGGCAGCAGUAGGGAAUCUUCCACAAUGGGCGAAAGCCUGAUGGAGCAACGCCGCGUGGGUGAAGAAGGUCUUCGGAUCGUAAAACCCUGUUGAUAGAGAAGAAAGUGCGUGAGAGUAACUGUUCACGUUUCGACGGUAUCUAACCAGAACGCCACGGCUAACUACGUGCCAGCAGCCGCGGUAAUACGGAGGUGGCAAGCGUUAUCCGGUUUUAUUGGGCGUAAAGGGAACGCAGGCGGUCUUUUAAGUCUGAUGUGAAAGCCUUCGGCUUAACCGGAGUAGUGCAUUGGAAACUGGGAGACUUGAGUGCAGAAGAGGAGGGUGGAACUCGAGGUGUAGCGGUGAAAUGCGUAGAUAUAAGGAAGAACCCCAGUGGCGAAGGCGGCUUGCUGGUCUGUGACUGACGCUGAGGUUCGAAAGCGUGGGGAGCAAACAGGAUUAGAUACCCGUGUAGUC
RNAcentral lists this ribosomal RNA (465 nucleotides) under uncultured bacterium. RNAcentral describes it as "partial 16S ribosomal RNA". It matches the Rfam family "Bacterial small subunit ribosomal RNA", at positions 338 to 795 of the family's 1533-position model. The record is from RNAcentral.